This 440-nucleotide ribosomal RNA is filed under the name uncultured bacterium. Its description in RNAcentral is "partial 16S ribosomal RNA". It matches the Rfam family "Bacterial small subunit ribosomal RNA", at positions 338 to 795 of the family's 1533-position model. The record is from RNAcentral.
CCUACGGGUGGCAGCAGUGGGGAAUAUUGCACAAUGGGGGAAACCCUGAUGCAGCGACGCCGCGUGAAGGAAGAAGUAUUUCGGUAUGUAAACUUCUAUCAGUAGGGAAGUAAAUGACGGUACCUGACUAAGAAGCCCUGGCUAACUACGUGCCAGCAGCCGCGGUAAUACGUAGGGGGCAAGCGUUAUCCGGAUUUACUGGGUGUAAAGGGAGCGUAGGCGGCGAUGCAAGUCAGAAGUGAAAGCCCGGGGAUCAACUCCGGGACUGCAUUUGAAACCGUAUGGCUAGAUUGCAGGUGAGGCAAGUGGAAUUCCUGGUGUAGCGGUGAAAUGCGUAGAUAUUAGGAAGAACACCAGUGGCGAAGGCGGCUUGCUGGACUGUAAAUGACGCUGAGGCUCGAAAGCGUGGGGAGCAAACAGGAUUAGAUACCCUGGUAGUC